AUUAAUAACAACACGAAAAAAAUUAUCAUAAUCUCAAAAAACAGAAAACAUCAUUACCAAAAACUACACCAUCCUACAUAACAACGGCAAAGAUUUUCGGGAGCUGUAGCUUGUUGGAUAAGCUUUUCAACUUGCGCUUUGACUGGCAAUUGCUCUUUCAAAUCGAAAUCUUUACCAGUUAGCUUAUUUGAGACACGCUUCAAGACUUGAAUAGAUCUCUCGUUGAGUCCUUCGGCGUUUACACCAUUUGUUUCACUAAGAGCUGCAUAAUCAGCGUGACGCGCACGAUGAGUGUAGGACCUUCCUUUCUCUUCUACACUACUUGAGGUAGGCCGGAGUGUCGUAGAAGCCCCGAAAGAGCUUUUAGUCAUAAGUCUCCAAUUAAUCAAAGGGUCAUAGACAAAUGCUUCAAGAACUGCCAUUAAAGACUCCGUAUUUGAUCUUAAAACACGCAUAACAAGCUCGCAAGUAAUUUUGUAAGUACCUUGGAUACCGCUAACCUCCAUAGCAUUAAUAAGCAUUCGAGUAAGUCGAAACGGUAUUUUCUCAGGAAAUUUUUCUCUAUGCAUGGCAACCUCAAAACAAUCACCAAAGUCAAUAUGAAUGAUCUUACCAGAAUACCGAUCCAUCAUUAGAUUGGAAGGAUGUCGGUCACCAAGUCCAAGUAUAUAUCCAACCAUUGACAUGACUGCCAAGCUUUGAGUAUAGCUGGUUCUCCUAUCAAGCCAUGCUUCUGAACUUCGACUUUUAAGCCACAACACAUGAUACAAAUCAUAACCAUCAGUAUUAGCCAUAACAUAUUCGAAUACUUCUAGUUUUUGCAAUAAUGUUAAACUGUCGCAGUCGGGUGCCAUUUGAAGCAUCAUGCGAUGCUCUAAAUUUAACAAUAUGUUACGCUUUGAGCGAAACUCUUUGAUCAGGAAAUGUAAUGUAUCACUAUGCGGAACCCACCCCAGCAAACCAGAAUUGGGAGAUAGCGGAAUAACUGUAUAACGCUCUAUAUUCAGACGUCGUUUGAAUGUCUCAGAAUCCGUAGUCAGUAACGUAUUACAUAAACCAAAAAGCUGCAUAACUCGUUCAUCUUGCCUCAAAUCUUCAUGACCCUUAAGGACAUACUGAUAAUCUUUGCCAUCACUACCAUGAAUUGUCAAUCUUCUUGGCCUUUGCUUAGAAGAAAUAACUUCGAAAGUGUGAUGGAAAUGCGAGAUCCGAAUGACCGGUUUGUUAUGACCAUAGGUUCCAGGCACAGCUAGUUCCAAAUCACAAGCAUCCAAUAACUUAGGGGAAACAUAUUGUAGCUCCAAAUGCUUAAUCCGUGGUAAUUGCUUUUGAAUACGUCUAAAGACUUGAUAAUACAAAUCCCAAGACUGAUUUAAUUCCGUAGGGUCACCAUCU
Molecule: non-coding RNA, 1395 nt
Organism: Schizosaccharomyces pombe (fission yeast)
Lineage: Eukaryota; Fungi; Ascomycota; Schizosaccharomycetes; Schizosaccharomycetales; Schizosaccharomycetaceae
Source: the annotation of a GenBank genome assembly